RNAcentral lists this ribosomal RNA (899 nucleotides) under uncultured bacterium. RNAcentral's name for it is "bacterial SSU rRNA". It matches the Rfam family "Bacterial small subunit ribosomal RNA", at positions 1 to 863 of the family's 1533-position model. The record is from RNAcentral.
GGCGGCCGAUGUAGCUGUUUCCUGACCGUAAAUGACUCGCGACUUUGAUCUUGUUUCUGGCCGUACGCUGGCGGCAUGCUUAACACAUGCCACGUCGAACGAUGAAGUUAUGACGGAGGCUUCGGCCGACAGAAUAAUGGAAUAGUGGCGGACGGGUGAGUAACGCGUGAGUAACCUGCCUUUCAGAGAGGAAUAACAUUUGGAAACGAAUGGUAAUACCACAUAACAUUACGUUCUCGCAUGGGGAUGUAAUCAAAGAUUUUAUCGCUGAGAGAUGGACUCGCGUCCGAUUAGCUGGAUGGUGAGGUAACGGCCCACCAUGGCGACGAUCGGUAGCCGGACUGAGAGGUUGAACGGCCACAUUGGGACUGAGACACGGCCCAGACUCCUACGGGAGGCAGCAGUGGGGAAUAUUGCACAAUGGGGGAAACCCUGAUGCAGCAACGCCGCGUGAAGGAAGACGGUCUUCGGAUUGUAAACUUUUGUUCUUGGUGAAGAAAAAUGACGGUAGCCAAGGAGGAAGCCACGGCUAACUACGUGCCAGCAGCCGCGGUAAUACGUAGGUGGCAAGCGUUGUCCGGAAUUACUGGGUGUAAAGGGAGCGCAGGCGGGAAAUCAAGUUGGAUGUGAAAUGUCGGGGCUUAACCCCGGAACUGCAUCCAAAACUGAUAUUCUUGAGUGAAGUAGAGGUAGGCGGAAUUCCGAGUGUAGCGGUGAAAUGCGUAGAUAUUCGGAGGAACACCAGUGGCGAAGGCGGCCUACUGGGCUUUAACUGACGCUGAGGCUCGAAAGUGUGGGGAGCAAACAGGAUUAGAUACCCUGGUAGUCCACACUGUAAACGAUGAUUGCUAGGUGGUGGGGGGGGUCUGACCCCCUCCGUGCCGGAGUUAACGCAAUAA